This 800-nucleotide ribosomal RNA is filed under the name Salmonella enterica subsp. enterica serovar Virchow. RNAcentral's name for it is "partial 23S ribosomal RNA". It matches the Rfam family "Bacterial large subunit ribosomal RNA", at positions 491 to 1190 of the family's 2925-position model. Lineage: Bacteria; Pseudomonadati; Pseudomonadota; Gammaproteobacteria; Enterobacterales; Enterobacteriaceae. The record is from RNAcentral.
UGAACCAGUACCGUGAGGGAAAGGCGAAAAGAACCCCGGCGAGGGGAGUGAAAAAGAACCUGAAACCGUGUACGUACAAGCAGUGGGAGCCCCACCACCAAAGCAUUCUCUGGUGUUGAAGGCCCUGCAAAGCAGCAUCGCGGUGGCGGAGCGUCGUUUGCGACGCCCAACACACAAAACAAGCGGUGAGUGCUUUGGGGUGGGGUGACUGCGUACCUUUUGUAUAAUGGGUCAGCGACUUAUAUUCUGUAGCAAGGUUAACCGUAUAGGGGAGCCGUAGGGAAACCGAGUCUUAACCGGGCGUUAAGUUGCAGGGUAUAGACCCGAAACCCGGUGAUCUAGCCAUGGGCAGGUUGAAGGUUGGGUAACACUAACUGGAGGACCGAACCGACUAAUGUUGAAAAAUUAGCGGAUGACCUGUGGCUGGGGGUGAAAGGCCAAUCAAACCGGGAGAUAGCUGGUUCUCCCCGAAAGCUAUUUAGGUAGCGCCUCGUGAAUUCAUCUCCGGGGGUAGAGCACUGUUUCGGCUAGGGGGCCAUCCCGGCUUACCAACCCGAUGCAAACUGCGAAUACCGGAGAAUGUUAUCACGGGAGACACACGGCGGGUGCUAACGUCCGUCGUGAAGAGGGAAACAACCCAGACCGCCAGCUAAGGUCCCAAAGUCAUGGUUAAGUGGGAAACGAUGUGGGAAGGCCCAGACAGCCAGGAUGUUGGCUUAGAAGCAGCCAUCAUUUAAAGAAAGCGUAAUAGCUCACUGGUCGAGUCGGCCUGCGCGGAAGAUGUAACGGGGCUAAACCAU